UUCAGCCAGUUUGAAAUACCUGGAACGACCUCUAAGUAACUUCCACAUCACUCAGCACUGAAGAAAAGGGAGCAAACAUUAGUGGAGUAAGGGAGAAACGGGCUCUCAGAGGGGCUGUGCAUCAGACCACAAGGCACCUAGGCAGCCGCUGACCAUUGUUUUCCAAUCUUCUAAACUCCUAGAGAAAAAAAAGCAAAGGCAAGUGCCCAGUACUCAGCUUUUAAAAACUAAAAAUACGAGCUUCAAUGACCGUACUCAUCCCUGAUUGGCUAGAAUGUUCAACAGCCUGGGUUUUAAGCCAAUCAGAGUUCUGGUCGUUGGAAUGGACUAGACGCUAGAGCAACUGCCACUCAACUUGGCUCAAAUUGGUUGGUGUCUGGCUCUGAUCCUAUUAUCCAGUCAUGCCAGAUAAACGCUGAGAAACAGAAGUGUUUCCUCGGUGGACGAGCAACUUGAAAUCGUUUGAUUUUACUAUAAUAAAGACUACCUACGGUGACCUCCCCAGCCCAGGAAAUGUGGCCAGAGAGCCUUCAUCCAAGACAGAGACACUAAAGUUAAUGAAAGAAAACAUGUAGCCACUUAAAAUGCUGCAGCCACGAGGCUCCAUGUCUUGAAAGCUCCUCUCAUCUUGCCGCUGUGAGACCAUAACAAUUUAGCAGCAGCAGCAAGCCCUUGAGCCAAGAUGGAAGGAAGGAAGGACUCCUUGCUGGACUUUACAAAAACAACCCAAGAGACCCAUCAACUCCUGCGUCCCCAAGUGAACUGGUAAUAGGACUGUAAUAAGAGCCACAAACCUGGCCAAAUAACUAAGCAAGCCAGAUGGUAAAGGGCAUCUGUAAGGGAUGUCUCUAUCCCUGCCUCUGCUACGGCUACACAGGAUUCCAGGACACAUGAAAAAUGUAACCCCACCUUCCUCUGAAACUUCUUCACCAUCAGUCCAUUUUCAGCAUUGGAAAACCAUACAUAAACAUGGCUUCUUAGCUGAUUUUUUAAAAAUUUCAGUAUGUUUUCCUUUUGACUGGCUCACAUAAGUGGUAUAUAGUAAAUAUCCAUUUCUAAUUACCUCUCAAAGAGAUCUAUAUAAACACGUGUAACACAGAAAUCUACUUAGCAAAGAUGGAUCUUAGUGGCCGAUGAGACAACUAUGCAUUUAACCAUCAAUGACACCUUAAAUUCCUUGUAACAAGGCAGAGAUUACUUAAGUUGACACCUCUUUUACCAAGUAUCAUGUUUUUGUGUAAUGUGGUCACAUUACAGCAUCACUCACUUUGGUUUCUUAA
Long non-coding RNA from Hyaena hyaena (striped hyena), 1280 nucleotides. RefSeq lists it as uncharacterized. The record is from RefSeq and is a predicted model, not a curated record. Lineage: Eukaryota; Metazoa; Chordata; Mammalia; Carnivora; Hyaenidae. The transcript has 3 exons.